AUUGAACGCUGGCGGCAGGCCUAACACAUGCAAGUCGAGCGGAGCGGCGGACGGGUGAGUAAUGCCUAUGAAUCUGCCUGGUAGUGGGGGAUAACGUUCGGAAACGGGCGCUAAUACCGCAUACUAUCAGAUUAGCCUAGGUCGGAUUAGCUAGUUGGUGGGGUAAAGGCCUACCAAGGCGACGAUCCGUAACUGGUCUGAGAGGAUGAUCAGUCACACUGGAACUGAGACACGGUCCAGACUCCUACGGGCGGCAGCAGUGGGGAAUCUUGGACAAUUGGCGAAAGUCUGACCCAGCCACGCCGCGUGAGUGAAGAAGGUUUUCGGAUCGUAAAGCACUGUUAUUGGGGAAGCGUUAUCAAACGAAGAAGCAACGGCUAACUUCGUGCCAGCCGCCGCGGUAAUAC
Molecule: ribosomal RNA, 407 nt
Filed under: uncultured bacterium
Lineage: Bacteria
Description: partial 16S ribosomal RNA
Rfam family: Bacterial small subunit ribosomal RNA
Source: RNAcentral